GGAGUUGUAGCUCAACAAUAGAGCAUAUGCUUUGCAAGCAGACUGUCCCAAGUUUGAUUCCUGGCAUCUCCA
Non-coding RNA from Podarcis lilfordi (Lilford's wall lizard), 72 nucleotides. The record is from the annotation of a GenBank genome assembly. Lineage: Eukaryota; Metazoa; Chordata; Lepidosauria; Squamata; Lacertidae.